UGGUACUUUCUGCAAAUGUUCUAGAACCUUCCCGUGUUUAGAAAUAUAGCCUGUAAAACCAUUAAUGUCACCAUUUAAAAAUGGAAUUGUAGACUUCUUACCUUUUUUGAGGAAUUUCAUUUUUUCCAGCUUUGGAGUCCCUUGUCCUAGCAGUUGAGUUUUCUUGCACUGCAUCAUGCUGCUAACUGUCUCAGGGCAAAUAUCACUGUGGCUUCUGUUAUUUUGUUUGUAGAAAAGCGGACUUCCUUUAGGAGUGUCCGAUACAGUUGACAGAGACCGAGACAUGGAUUUUUGUUUGCCGGAUGAUUUCAUGACAUACAUUUUUUCACACGCAUCUGAGGGUAAUCCAGAUCUCUGCGUCUGCUCAGGCUGAGAAAGAAGUUUGUUUGGAACUUUGUGACUGUAACUUAAGACAGGGGAUGAUUUCAUAAUUACGGGUGAUUCCUUCAAAAUGUCCUCUGAUUUGGUGCUCGUAGGGACGUUUUUGUGACAGGAGCCAAAGGUUUGCGUUCUGGGUUCACAGCAAUCUCUGUUUUGGCAGAAAUCAUGGCCGAACAUUGGUGUAUUACAGUGGUUACAAAACCGUCCGAGUUCAUUGUUUUGGUCCAAAUCUUCACAAAGUCCGACCUCCUCCAGUGCUGUAAGGAGGUCAAUGCUACCUUUUUCAAAAGGGACAGGGUUUCUCAGUGCCGCCAGGUAGGAUUCCCUGUACCUGAAUUUGUUAUCUUGUUCUAAAAGGUCCUCCUCCAGCUUUCCCUGGCUGCAUGGCAUACAAGGCUCCUCUGCAUACUGAAAGGUGCGUCCGCAGAAAACGGUGCUCACCAUGGUUGUACAUUGAGGUGGUCUGGCAGGUUCAAUGUAGGCAGAAUUUGCUGGAUUUAAUUGGCCUCCAUGUUUCAACACAUUCCCUUUUGGAACAUCCACCAAAUCGACAUAAUCACCUUCAAUUUCUGGAUAGUUGCGGCUAUCCCAUGUGUUCGGGGACACCCAACCGACAGGUUUGACAAGAGAUUUAGAAUAGGAUCUGGGGAGUCUUUUAUAAUGUUCUAAUUUAACAAGUUUGGAAGAACAAUCCACAGGUCUUAGAGAUGCAGACACUUUAUCUUUUAACGGAAGAACCCGUGCCUCCAAUGGCAGAGUGGAUGCGCCGUAAGUGCAUGGAGAUGAUGUAGGCUUUGGCACAGGAGGAACUUGUCGAUGAGUGGUUAUAACCUUAGGCUUAUCCAAAAACUCUGGGAUGGCCACCUCUGCCCAUGGCAAUUUUAUUACUCCUUGAUCAGUACUGAGUAAGCAGCGUGAUAGAGGAGUCCCUUGACGCCCGUCAUUGAUGUCUUUCAGCCAGUCCUCUGUGAAAAUGCAUGGGUACGAAGUCUCAGGGAUCGGGAUUUCCUCCACUUCCCGACAUCCGGCUUCCAGGAGGCUUUUGACGACAACACGAGCUGCCUGGUCACCAAAAGGCUCUACUUGGAGAUAGAAAUCUCCAGGACGCAGCAGCAAAGGGUUCACAGGUGCUAACUGGAUGACUGUUUUGUCAUGGAGGCAGAGAGGCCAACCCUCACAGCGGAAAACCACAUCCGAGUAUCCAGCCUGAAAAUGAAAAAGCAGAGUUUGAGGUGUUUGGAAGGGAUGAGGAAAUCGAGUAGGCAUUGCAAGGCAUCGCCAUGGUAACGUUCCUCAAUGGUGCGGAAGAGCUGGCUGAUGACGAUGGGCGCUGUGACGUCGAAAGGCCCACAAAGAAGCCAGUUUUCAGACCUUUCUUCAUUGAGGCUGACAACCAGACCAGGACCAGGGCUUGACCCAGAGUAAACACACUGCAGCAGCUUCAAAGACCUCACACUGGUUAGCCUGGGGCUGAUGCUGGUGAGUCCGGUGUAUUCGUGGUGCACUGGGGACUGAGGUCAUAGCUGUUUUUCAUUAAACAACACUGUAAAGUAUUUAAGUCUGCUUAUGAAUUGUAUGGUUUUUAGAGUUUUUUUUUUAAACAUUUGAUCUGUUUGGGUUUAGUUUCUCUUGUAGAUAGUAAAUGUGCUAAGUAGAAAAGAAUGUUUCCCUCUUUGUGUGCACAUCUGUAACAAUAGAUUAUCUAAAGGAGAACAAAAUACCAGAGAAUGGCUCUUGAGCAGUAAUGCAUCACAGCUGCUUUACGCUCUACUGUAUGUGUGUGAGCCUGAUGUCACAGCUAUUUAAACAGCACUGCGAAGGUGCUUAAAAUAUUUCAUUUCCUGAUGAAGAGAUUUCUAUUCCUUCAAAGUUUGGUUUGGCACAUCUUGUCUUACCAGUGUAAAUGACUUUAUCAUAUCAGUAAUGAUUCAAAGUGCAAUCAACUCUCCGCUGUGUUCUCUUUUGAUGAAUGGUUUCCACUUUUGAUGAACGGUUUCCAUUA
Corythoichthys intestinalis (scribbled pipefish) is the source of this 2383-nucleotide long non-coding RNA. RefSeq lists it as uncharacterized. The transcript has 3 exons. The record is from RefSeq and is a predicted model, not a curated record. Lineage: Eukaryota; Metazoa; Chordata; Actinopteri; Syngnathiformes; Syngnathidae.